RNAcentral lists this transfer RNA (75 nucleotides) under Candidatus Hydrogenedentes bacterium ADurb.Bin101. Its description in RNAcentral is "tRNA-Ala". It matches the Rfam family "tRNA". Rfam says of the family: Transfer RNA (tRNA) molecules are approximately 80 nucleotides in length. Their secondary structure includes four short double-helical elements and three loops (D, anti-codon, and T loops). Lineage: Bacteria; Pseudomonadati; Candidatus Hydrogenedentota. The record is from RNAcentral.
UGGGGACGUAGCUCAGAUGGGAGAGCGGCUGGUUUGCAACCAGCAGGUCGGCGGUUCGAUCCCGCUCGUCUCCAU